GGCAGUAUAGCUCAGUGGUAGGGUGUAUGCUCAGCAUGCACAAGGUCCUGGGUUCAAUCCCCAGCACCUCUG
RNAcentral lists this transfer RNA (72 nucleotides) under Camelus bactrianus (Bactrian camel). It matches the Rfam family "tRNA". Rfam says of the family: Transfer RNA (tRNA) molecules are approximately 80 nucleotides in length. Lineage: Eukaryota; Metazoa; Chordata; Mammalia; Artiodactyla; Camelidae. RNAcentral also lists the same sequence under 2 other names. The record is from Rfam by way of RNAcentral.